Molecule: long non-coding RNA, 29351 nt
Filed under: Triticum aestivum (bread wheat)
Lineage: Eukaryota; Viridiplantae; Streptophyta; Magnoliopsida; Poales; Poaceae
Description: long non-coding RNA (TAES_LNC013871)
Rfam family: tRNA (bases 28580-28651)
Source: RNAcentral
CACUUCUUUAUUAUCACAAUUCAUCUCUUGGUGCUUUAGAUAUUGUUCUCUGUGUGACUUUGGGAGCAGUGGGCACCUUCUGAACCUGUAGACCUCUCACGAUCCAAGCACUAUAGAGAGAAGUCCUAUAUGUUUGUUGCCUUUGUACUGCUCAUUUAAAGGAUUGAAUCAAUCGAUUGCUUGAUUUCACAAUUCAGCAUGUAGGCUGCGUGAGAGGAAAACUCAAUCCUGCUCUUUCAUAUUUCGGUAGUAUUGAAUUUAUGAACGUGAACAGUCCUUUUACCCGGUAUUUUGCAAAGGAGGUUGCAGAUAUUUAUGAUUCAACUGUUUCCUUUGUUCCCACCAAGUAUUUUUCUCACAUACUCCCUCUGUCCAAAAAUAAGUGUCUCAACUUUAGUACAAAGUUGUACUGAAGUUGAGACACUUAUUUUGGGACGGAGGGAGUAUAUGACAUUUUGGUUCAGUGGCUCAGUGCAUAGGAUAGUUCUUUUCUCACAUAGUAAGGUAUUUGCAUUGUGACUAAUUGAUGCUCCCAUAGCCGUAGGUGGGCAUGUGAAUUUGAGUUGCCGGUUUAUCACGUUGGAUGAUGCAACUCUAACUUGUUCUUUGUUGCGGUCCGGCUAUAUGAACAUGUGUAUGCAAUGUAGUCUGCUGCAGCCUGCAGGCAUAUAUGGGCUUGAAUUCAGGAUUAUGUUAUACGUAUAUGUGAAUUCUGUGCUGCGCAGGAAUCAUCGCAUCAACUGUUGUUUUCGUACCCCUGGCUAAGUAUAUUUUGCUGUGGUUAAUUAGAUACUGCUAAGUGGGAAUAACCAGUUUCAGUUCUCUGCUUGAAUCCUUUGGGAAAUGUAUAUAGGUCAGAACUGGUUCUCGGUCUCUUUACUGGUAUAAAAGUAUGGAGAGGUUGUGAUAGCUGGGAUCCGUGAGGGGCGCUCUGUUUUCGUAUAUACGGAGAACAUGAAAUAGAUCAUGUUUUUGACUUGUUCAUCCUGUGGAUCUGGGCAAUAUAGCUUUGUUUGUGUGCUAUUUCAACAAUUCCUGGAUUUACGAACGGGUGCAGUCCUCCUACCAAGUAUUUUGGCAAAGGAGAUUAUUGCCAAUAUUUAUGAUUCAACUCUCACCAUUGUUCUUAUCGAGUAUUUUCGCAUGUAUGGCAUUUUGGUUCGGCGCAUAGCUAGCUAGGAUGGUUCUUUUCCCAUGUAAGGAUUUGCAUUUCGGCUAAUGGGGCGUGUACGUACUGGUGUCGGUUGGUGCUUUAUAUGUUGUGCUCUGUGUAACUUUGGGGGCAGUCAGCACCUUUGGGACUUGUGGUUCUGAACAAUCCAAGCGUUAUACAGAAGUCCUACAUCUUGCCCUUGAACUGCACAGUUAAGGGAUCUUUUUUAUGGAUUUUUUUAUUUCAAUAGUUCAGCAUGUAUGUUGUCCUUUUAUUUGGCUGUACCGUUGCUAAAAACAAGUCUGGGAUCUCCUCGGAGACCACACUAAGAACAAAGUCUGGUGGCACCAUAAGCCAAACCUUGCAUAAAGUAUCUCCUACGCCUACUUUCACUAGCUUAUGCGCGGCAGAAUUCGCAUUGCGACCGACCCAAGACACUUUCACGUCAUCAAAGAACUGAAACAUCUGCUUAAGCUCCUCUACCCUUGGCCCAACAGCAGCCAAAUUCUUCUCUCCUUCCUGAAGCAUCAACGCCACAUGUUUGUUGUCCGUCUCUAGGUGUAGUUUUUUGACGUUGAUCUCGGCGGCUAAUUAACUCAACAGCUCUUUUGCAAGCAAGGAUCUCCACUGUCUCCGCCUCUGUCUGAUGAUGGUAGACCUGACAUGCAGCUAGCCGCUCGGAAAUCACCAAGGUGCCCACGCAGGAUCACUCCUCCUCCUCCCUUGUCACCAUGCUUUGACACCGCCCCGUCAGCGUUCGCUUUUAUCCAUCCCUCCUCCGGUGGUGUCCACUUGUAUGUUUCUUUUAUCGGAUUUGCUAAAACUCAGCUAGAUGAGUUUUAAUUUUGUCUCAUUCACUUUUGUAACCGUUGGAUGUAUAUAUACCCUAAGAUUCGUACAUUGUGGCGUGUGGCUGCUUUUGUAUCGGGCUGUCUGCAGUUUUGUGUUGUAGUCGUUAGGCCCACAGGCCUUUCUUUGUUUGUUUGGUUUUUUUGCGGUGCAAGCCGGCAGACCUUUCUUUGUAAUAUCUUUUUUUUUCACUGGUUCAGCGAUGGACAAUUUAUUGUACGGGUUUGUUAUUUCACAUCUAAGUCCAAAACCGUUGGAUCACCUGUUUUUAAUAUUCGUGCAAAACGCAAUUGUCUAGUUGCUGCGCUGGCUCGUGGCGCGUUGUGUCCGGGUUGUUGCAAGCUGUGCUUGUGUAGGGGUCGUUGCUAGUGCGAGGUCGCUCCGUUAGUAUCACAAGCCUAUGCUCUUGAGGGUCGUUGCUAGUGUGAGGUCGAUUGACCUUUUCUAUUUCUUUUCACAAGUCUGUGCUGCAUUCAGUCCUAGUUCCUCUCAUUUCUCUACACUCUCAUUUGACUCCUAGUAUUUGUUAUUAUUUUCUGUUUUAUUUUAUUUUUUCUAUUCAUUAUUUAUUUUAAAUUAUGAACUAUUUUAAAUUCUUGAUUUUUUUGUUUUUGUUUUUAUUUAUAUUUUCUAUUUUCCCCUUUUCCAUUUUUAUUUUUUAUUUUAAAAUUUAUUUAUUCGUUUAAAAUUCAUGAAAUUGUUUUCACUCUGUCAUUUGUUCACUUUAAAUAUUGUGCAAAUCUUGAUUGCGGGUUAUUUUGUCACGCGCGCUCUGUGUCGCGUCGUGUGUUUGGUGUCUAUUUGUCGAUCUAUUCGCGCAUGUAUCUUUUGUUGAGCGUUUUCGUGACGCGAUCUGAGGUCCCGUUUCGAAUUGGUUUGCUAAUUAUUAUGUAAAUGAGUUAACAAUGUUCCAUCUAACUCAUAUACCAUUAGAUACACGUGCUUCUGAGUCAUGCUCAUUGUCCUUGCGUCGUGUUUUCUGUUUGUCCCUCGUGAAGCAGUGAGACCCAAUAUGAAAAUUUUGAGUGAGCAGUUAUUAUGUUUUAUGUAUUGAUUUUUUUGUGGGCUUAGCUUUUUUUGGAGGAACACGUGUCUUUUUAUUCCUUGUUUUCUUUUAUUUUGGUUUGACCGUGUAGCUAGAGAGGAGUGUAACUAGUUUUUUCAUUUUCAGAUUUGCUAAAUCUAAUCUAGAUAAGUUUUAGCUCAUCUGAGUCUAUAAUUGAUUGACUGAUUGGUUUUAUUUAAUGUUUGCACAAACUCGAUCAUGCACGCUCGUGUUCGCUUGUUCUUUUUUGUUGCGCGUCCUCUUGUCCCGUUUGUUUUGUGUCCUCAUGUUCUUGCAUUUAUUUUCACAUUGGCCUAUAUGUGUUGUCGUUUUGGGGGCUCAACUAUGAAGCUUAUCCCCCAUCUUCUCACUGACGGAUCUUUUGACCCUGGUUAUUUUGCAUGUGUUUUAUUUUUCAUCCCAGUUAUAGGUCCACCCUUGACAUAUAACUGGCAUGUAGUUUGUUUCAUCCUAGUUACAAAUCGACCAUUGACUCGCAACUGGGCUCGUAUUUUCGUAUGUUGUCCCGGGUGCAAGUCCACCAUCGACUCGCAACUGGAGCAUGUGUUUUUGUUUUUCAUCCCAGUUGCAGGUCCACCAUUGACAUGCAAGUGGGUAUGUAGUUUGUAUCAUCCUAGUUGCAAGUCGACUCUUGACUCACAACCAGGCUCAUAGUUUCGUAGUUGUCCUAGGUGCAAGUCCACCCUCGACUCACAACUGGGCUAGUAAUUGUCAGACUUGCAAGCCCACCCUUGACCCGCAAUUGGAGCAUGUGUUUUGUUUUUCAUCCCAGUUGCAAGUCCACCCUUAGCUAGCAACCGGGCCCAUAGCUUGUUUCAUCCCAGUUGCAAGUCGACCUUUGACUCGCAACUGACUCGUAGUUUCAUAGUUGUCCCACGUGCAAGCCCCCCUCGACUCAAAACUGGGCUCGUAGUUGUCCAAGUUGCAAGCUCACCCUCUACUCAGAACUUGAGCAUGUGUUUUUUUAUCCCAGUUGCAAGUCUACCUUUUGAUUGGAACAAGCUUAUAGCUUGUCUCAUCCCAGUUGCAAGUCGACCCUUAACUCACAAUUGGGCUCAUAGUUUCGUAGUUGUCCCAGUUGCAAGGCCACCAUUAACUCGCAACUACAAGGCCCCGAAUGCCCCAGUUGCAACUUGACCAUCGACUCGCAACUCAGGGGGUGUUUACUCAAUGCCACUUCGCAACUCGACCUUGGACAAUUUUUUGGUUUCACCAACGAAAUACAAGGACCAGUGGGCCCCGCAUGCCCUAGUUGCAACUCGACCGUCGACUUGCAAUUAGGGUGUCUACUCGAUGCCACAUACAACUCGACCUUGGACUCGCAACUGGUAUGAUUAUUUGUCUUUUCUUUUAUUGCCAUAAUUGCCCCAGUUGCAAGUCCACCAUCGAUUUGCAACUGUAGGGCCCACACGGCACUUGCAACUCGACCGUCGACUNNNNNNNNNNNNNNNNNNNNNNNNNNNNNNNNNNNNNNNNNNNNNNNNNNNNNNNNNNNNNNNNNNNNNNNNNNNNNNNNNNNNNNNNNNNNNNNNNNNNNNNNNNNNNNNNNNNNNNNNNNNNNNNNNNNNNNNNNNNNNNNNNNNNNNNNNNNNNNNNNNNNNNNNNNNNNNNNNNNNNNNNNNNNNNNNNNNNNNNNNNNNNNNNNNNNNNNNNNNNNNNNNNNNNNNNNNNNNNNNNNNNNNNNNNNNNNNNNNNNNNNNNNNNNNNNNNNNNNNNNNNNNNNNNNNNNNNNNNNNNNNNNNNNNNNNNNNNNNNNNNNNNNNNNNNNNNNNNNNNNNNNNNNNNNNNNNNNNNNNNNNNNNNNNNNNNNNNNNNNNNNNNNNNNNNNNNNNNNNNNNNNNNNNNNNNNNNNNNNNNNNNNNNNNNNNNNNNNNNNGACUCGCAACUGGUCUAUUUUUUUGUCUACUUUUUUGCCAUGAUUGCCCUAAUUGCAAGUCCAGCAUCGACUCGCAACUACGAGGGGCCCGAAUGCCCUAGUUGCAACUUGACCCCCGACCCGCAACUCGGGGGGAGGGGGGGUGUUUACUCGGUGCCACUUGCAACUAGACCAUCGACUCGCAACUAGUCUGUUUUGUCUUCUUUUUUGCCAUGAUUGCCCCAAUUGCAAGUCCACCAUCGACUCGCAACUGCGAGGGGCCCGAAUGCCCCAGUUGAAACUCGGCCAUCGACUCGCAACUCGGGGCAGUGUUUACUCGAGGCCACUUGCAAGUCGACCUUGGACUCGCAACCGGGGUCGGCGGAGGGCUGUCGGCGCUGAUGAAAUCGGUUCCUUUUUUAUUUUAUUUUAUUAUGUUAGGUUUUUUGUUGUUGUAGUUGCAACCGCUCCAACCCGAGCGCAAUCGCAACUCAGCACACCCAAGCGCAACCGGGCGUCGGGGAGAGGGUUGUCGGUGCCGAUGAAAUCGGUUCCAUUUUUUGAUAGGGUUUAUUGUUGUAGUUGCAGCCGCCCCAUCCUAAGCACAAUCGCAACUCAACACACCCAAGCGCAACUGCAAGCCAUAUAAUGUGACCGCAACCAGGGUUGGCGGUUGGAUGUUUUUUUAGCAUCACAUAGAUGGGUUUUCUAUCAUUUCCCCUCACGAUGGGUACAUACAAGCAAUUUUUUUCAUUUUGGCUAAUUUUUUGUGUUUUAUUUUUCGGAACGCACGACCCAACUCCAGCAUUUCCCACAUGAGAAUACAUAUGUUCUUGAAAAUAACACUCCAAGGGGCACACUGCAUUGUUUUUUUCCAAAAAAUAUAUAUAUAUACUUGAUCCCAGUUUCGCACUGUUGAACGCUUAUAGUUGUAUCUUCGCCGGUCAUCCAUAAAUGUUUCCAAAAAAAUCACUCCAAUGUCUUAGCUUUUCAUCUUAUAUCAUUUUGUUUUGGUUUACUCUUUGUUUCCAUUUUAAAAUUUCUUUACGAUAUAUAUUUUUUAGCCUUGAAUGAAAAAUCAACUAUAAAGGCCUUGGCUUAGUGAACAAAAAUAUUAAGCAAAACUAUUUUAAUUUGUGAUCUGGGAGCUUUAAUUAUUCAAUGUUUCCUCUUUUGUUAUGACACGCACAUGCAAAUGUUCAUGUGUUUGUUGAUUGAGCAUGAAACUCGUCAGCUUGUGGCCAGCCCAUUUGUUGUGACGUUGUGCAGCCCUAGUAAAUUGAUAGGAAGGACAAGUGAAAGGGAAGACUAGGCCAGCCCAAGAAAAAGGACAAGCAGGCCGGACAGGGAAACGAACUGGACCUUGGCAUGCAGUGUGACGUCAGGUGACAUCAGCUGACUGAGAGAUAACUACUGUCUCAGUCAGCUGAGUUCCAGGCGAUCCCUUCUUUUAUUCUGACUCCCGGAUCUGCUUUCUCAUGACUAGCGAACCAUUCCGCCAUAUAUGCACAUACAGAAGCCAAUAUUUCAUGUGGCGGUGAUAUUUGUUUACCAUCUUUCGCCUCGCUCCUCGCCAACCAGAGUCCGUAGCAGGCCUGGACCAUCGCUGCUCUCUCCUCCCCCCUGCAUUCGCAAACCAGCCUAGCAACCACGAGGACAACGGGCAAAUAGCUCCCAUGCGACAUCUUUGAGUUGAAUUGUCUCUCAUGCGACGUCGUUGGUUGUAAUGGCUCUCAUGCGACGUCUCCCAGCGCAGAAAUAGCUCAAGCAAGACAACCCGUUUAAGCGGCUAGUUGGCUGUUAGUUAGGCUGAGGUUUGGUUAGGACACUGGGGGUUAUGUGCUCUGACUAGUGGGGUCCACCUAGGGCCACGUAGUCAAGAGUCAACCGUCCAUGACUCGACCGGUGACUGUGUGACCGUGCUCGACUCGCCCGUGCUGGACUGGGCGAGCGGCGCCGCCGUAAGCAUCUUCUCCGGCAUCGGUUUCUUCUCCGCGGUGGUGGAGCGCAUUUCUCGGCAGCGGCAGAGCUAUUGCGAGUGAGCUCGAAACCCUAGUCCCACUCCCCAUAAUUUUGGGGGAUCUGUGGCCUCAUGCUGCCCCUCUGUUUCUUGGCGAUUUAGAAUCUCGAUUGGAUCCGGGGGCUGUUUCUUCUCCGUGACCCGGUGGUGGAGCGCGUUUCUCAGCAGCGGCUAUUGCGAGUGAGUAUUUUCCAAACUCUAGUCCCAUUCCCCAGAAUUUUGGAUAAAUCUGUGGCCUCAUGCUGCCCAUGUUUCUUGGCGUUUUAGAAUCACGAUGGAUAGGAGCGCGGGGGCUGAAUGAGAUGGAGCGAGGAGACAGUGCUUCAAAUCGGUAAUGCCGCCCUCUUUUCUCUUUUAACUGUUAUCGAACUCGAUUUGGUAGUGACUGUCGCUUACACUGCCGCCGCUGCCUGCCAUUGACAAAACAGGGGAGGUUCAGGUUCUGCCACCACAUUCGCAAUUAUAGUGGAAUUUUUUCCCUGUAAAGCCAAGCUCAGUGAUGGCAGUGUCCAAGACAUUGAUAGAGAUACCACCGUGAGGUUGGAUGUCGAAUUUGCAGAUGUUGAUCCCCAGGAAUUGGAGAGCAUGAAGGAGAAGGCCGUGGGCAAUUUGGUGGAGAGAAUUGGGGAGAGUAUUGUUUGGGGUCCAGAACAAGAGGUAUCUCUGCAACGUUUCGAUAACUAUAAUGGUGAAUAUGUGAGAAUUGAAGAUGGAGAAUCCAUGGUUGCUGAAAUUGAUCAGCAAGAAGGGUGGGCAAGCAAACAAGUAACAUUUUAUGCUGAGCAAUUGAUCUGCAAACUCAUUCCAGAGUUGGUUAUGUGCCAUCAAAGAUGGCUGCACAGGUGGAAGAUGAUGAGUGGGUUUCACAAAAGAAGAUGUUGGCAUUGUUGACUGAACCGACUGUAGUAGCUGAAGAUACAGGGAUUGAUGCAGAUGGAGAGGAGGGAACCCAUGGUGCUAGGAAGAUUGUUGUUGACUGGAAUGUAGUAGAGUUGAAUGAAAAAACAGAUUUCGUCAUUACACCAAUAUCUGACAUUGAUAUGGCCGAAAUGUUUGGCAUUCAAGUUGAUGACAAAGAUAAGGAGAAGGAUGACAGUUCUUUGCCUGCGGAUGGUAACACAGGCCCUAGAAAUGCAAAUGAGGAUGAAGAAGAGCUGAUGAGAGAGGCUGCAGAUGAUGUGGAUGAUGCAGAUGAUAAUGAGCUGGUUUGUUUGUAUGACAAAGAGAACCCAGUUAUUGAGGUGGGAAAGUUGUGGCCAAGCAUGAAGGAGUUUAGGAUGUCUUUCAGGACCUAUGCAGUGAAAAAAGAGUUUGAUGCCAAGACUAUGUGGACUGGUCGAAAGAAAUUUUAUGCUCGGUGCAAAGGUUAUGAUGGUGGUGGCAAUCCUUGCAAAUGGUACUUGUCUGCCAGACUACAACCUGAUGGAAGUACAGUAAGGGUAAAUCAAAUACCACACCAGCAUACAUGUAUGACCACUUCACAGAGAGUUUCAAAGAUGGCAUCACAGCUUUGGGUUACAGAGAAGAUUACUCCUAUUUUAGCCAAGACUCCAAACACUACUGCAAAGAGGCUUAAAGUUGACUUGGAGAAGCUGUACCCCAUCCAGCUGCAAUAUACCACAGUGUGAAAGCAAAACAAAGGGCCAUGAAAUCAUUGUAUGGUGACUGGGCAAAUACAUUUAGGAUGUUGUAUAGUUUUAAAGCAGAGGUGGAGAAGAGGUCACCUGGAAGUGUGGUGGAGAUAGAUACAGAGGUAACAGAGGAUGGCAAGGUUUUAUUCAGCAAGUUUUUUAUGUGUUUGAAGCCUUGCAUAGAUGGAUUCAAAGCAGGUCGUCGUCCAUAUUUGAGCAUAGACUCAUCUUUUUUGACUGGAAAGUGGAAUGGUCAGUUGGCUGCAUGCAAUGCUCUAGAUGGGCACAACUGGAUGUUCCCAAUUGCAAUAGAAAUGUUUCAAUCAGAGACAGAGGCAUCAUGGAUAUGGUUCAUGAUGCAACUGAAAAGAUGCAUAGGGCCAGUUUCUCCUUUGGCCAUCCACACAGAUGCAUGUAAAGGGUUGGAAAAUGCAGUAAAAAAUGUCUUCCCCCAUGCUGAGCAGAGGGAGUGCUUUGGACAUAUGUGGAUGAAUCUGAUAAAAAAAUUCAGAGGAGAUGAAUUUGGGCGCAUGUGGCCAGCAGCAAGAUCCUACACCAGACAGACACAUUCCUAUCACCUUGGUAAGAUAUUGGCAUCAUGUAGUGAUAAUGAAUUUGCUUCAUGGUUGAACACCCACCAUUCUCUAUUGUGGUAUAGAUCAGGUUUUAAUACUGCCAUAAAAUGUGAUCAUAUCAAUAACAACUUGGCGGAAAGUUUUAACAACAAAGUGAAGGAUUUGAAAGACUUGCCUGUGCAUGACAUGGUGGACCAAAUAAGGAUCAUGAUCAAGCGUUUGUGGGAGUUGAGAGGAAAAAUUGCUAAUAUUUUGGAAGGGGACAAGCUUCCAGCAGUGGUACAACAGGUGGUCAACAGGAGUAGAAAUCUUUCACAUCUAUCUGUUGAGAAAUCUUCCUUGUGGGGUGCUGAAGUUAGAGAUACAAAGAGUGGCAAGAGGCAUGUGGUAAAUACUGAGUUGCAUGAGUGCACUUGCCAAGAGUGGCAACACACUGGAAAACCAUGUGAGCAUUCCAUACUUUUUUUUGCAUCUAAACCCAGGUUAAAUAUGCACCCAUAUUUGCAUGAGUAUUAUUCAGUACAAAAAUUCAAAGCUGCAUAUGCAAGUCCAAUUCCUGCACUGACUAACCAAUCUCAGUGGCCUGAGGUGGAAAUAUAAUUUACCUUGUGUCCCCCUGUCACUAGAAGAAAGGCUGGGAGGCCAAAACAGAGCAGAUUCAAAGCUUGGUUUGAGAAAGGUGGUUGUAGUAAGAAGGGGAAAAAGGAAAAGGAAAAGAAUGAUAAGCCCAAAAGGGCUCAAAAAGGUAACACAAAUAGGUGCAAGUUGUGUGAGGUACUUGGGCACAGAGUUGGUUCAUCCAAAUGCAUCUACACUCCUCAGAGGCCAAAGUAUGUUUAUGUUACUGUUUUUGCAAGUUUUUGAUUUUGCUACUUGUUCUAGUAUCUAACCAAGUGAAAUGCUUUAUUUUUAGGAGGAAGCGUGCAGAAAAAGCCCCACCUCUUGUUGUUGAAGAAUGCUGGCCAGUGAAAAAAGCAAGACUCAAUGGCUUUAGAAGGAAGAGCACUAAGCAGAUAAUGUUUGGUGACAAAGAUAUGGAGCAAACUGAAACUGUUACUGCUGAACAUGAGCUAAGUGUUUCUGUUUUGGACGAUGUGAUGCAUACUGAAUCUGUUUUGCAGGCGCUAGGGCAAUCUGAAACUGUUGCAGAUGAAGCAACUGUUGUGCUGCCAUGCGAAUCUGCUUUGAUAGCUGUGUUGCCAUGUUUGGAGGUUGUGCUGCCAAGUGUUGAGUUGCAAACUGAAGUAAUUGAAUAAUGUGUGCCAUCUACUCAAGCUGCAGAAGUGCAAACUGAAGAAGUGGGACAUGGUGAGGUGCAAAAGUUGAGGGGCCUAGUGGAGUUGGCAAGAAAACCAAGGGGCCAAAAAGCAAGAGCAUCAGCAUCAACAAACUAUGCGCCGUGGGACCAAACGGUGGAAAAAAGGAGAAGAAAUCGAGUGGUAGAAAGAAGCAAAAGAAAUAGAGUCGAAAUCAUUCAAAUUUGAUGUGAAAACUUAAGUUUGUUGUCAUUUGAUGUGAAAACUUAUGUUCUUUCAUGUGAAAACUUAUGUUCUAUGAUGUUGAUUUGACUUGAAAUAAAAUUCAAAUUUGAACCGACAUUCAAAUUUGAACCUAUCUCCAAUAUUUUUGGAGUUCAUUUGUUUGUUCUGUGAUGUUGCAUUGUUUUAUGUACUACUAUGCACUUUAGUUCAUAAAUCCAACCCUUUUUGUGAAGUCCAACUCAUAGUCACUGAAAAUGUUGUCCAAACAGGCUCCAAAGUAAGGGAAAACGACCCCAUUUCUAAGCAAGUUUUUUUCGACCUUCUCAAGAUCACCCAAAAAUAUUUUCUUAGCUUAUAUUAUACCUAUAUAGGAUCAAUACGAAGUCUCACCUUUUUUGAAUAAGUAUUCAUAUUAUUAAUUUAUUUUUGAAAAAACACCCUUUAAUACAAAGUCAGCAAUAAAACAAGUUUAAAAAUUUAAAAUGCAAAAAUAACUUCAGAUCCUCCUUAGUCACUCCAAAAUGAAGCUAAGGUGAGGUUUUUGAUUUUUUGCAUUUUCAUAACCUCAAACCCUCUUCUCACUCCUUUGAACUCUAUGCAACCUCAGUCGAGAUAGUCCAAUUUGUGAAGGUUUUUUCAUGCAAAGAUCAUUAGAUCAAGUUUAUCAUUUUAUAUCAUAACUAUGUAACAUAACAAGACUAUUUGCGCAGGUUUUUCAUUUUUUAGAUUUUUUUUGAAUUAGUUAUACACAUUUGAAUAUUCGGUCAAACCUUUCAAAACCCUGUUGACUGCCUCCAAAACCCAUGUAACCCUAGCGCCGAACGUCCACCAUCGAUCUAACCCUAACGCCAAACUGCGGCCGUCGGAUAGGCCUUCUAGAAGGAUUCCGCGGGGGCGAUCCGUGGGAGCCCUGAUUCUCCAAUCUGCUUGGCCACCAUUUUUUUUCUCUGACGAACAGAUAACGUUGAGCGGGGGAGCAUCUCAGUGACCGUUGGGCCGAGCGGAUCGGGCCCAGCAGAGCCUGGCGUGCGUGCGCACAGCCGUCGAGAGGGGGGAUGGGCUGCAUGCGAGAGGGUCACUGACAUGUGGGCCAUCCCUGUCCCAUGCAUGCCAUGCAACGGCGUCACAGCCUAGCUAUUCUGUGCUCGUGAACGCUGGGACACAGCCUAGCCAUUUGCAUGCGGGCUUGCAUGCACGCAUUGACGCAGUAAAGCAGCGGCAGGGGCGUGUUGGAAAUAUGCCCUAGAGGCAAUAAUAAAAUGGUUAUUAUUGUAUUUCCUUGUUCAUGAUAAUUGUCUGUUGUUCAUGCUAUAAUUGUAUUAACUGGAAACUGUAAUACAUGUGUGAAUACACAGACCACAACAUGUCCCUAGUAAGCCUCUAGUUGACUAGCUCGUUGAUCAAUAGAUGGUUAUGGUUUCCUGAGCAUGGACAUUGGAUGUCAUUGAUAACAGGAUCACAUCAUUAGGAGAAUGAUGUGAUGGACAAGACCCAAUCCUAAGCAUAGCACAAGAUCGUGUAGUUCGUUUGCUAGAGCUUUUCUAAUGUCAAGUAUCAUUUCCUUAGACCAUGAGAUUGUGCAACUCCGGAUACCGUAGGAAUGCUUUGGGUGUACCAAACGUCACAACGUAACUGGGUGGCUAUAAAGGUGCACUACAGGUAUCUCCGAAAGUGUCUGUUGGGUUGGCACGAAUCGAGACUGGGAUUUGUCACUCCGUAUGACGGAGAGGUAUCUCUGGGCCCACUCGGUAAUGCAUCAUCAUAAUGAGCUCAAUGUGACUAAGGAGUUAGCCACGGGAUCGUGCGUUACGGUAUGAGUAAAGUGACUUGCUGGUAACGAGAUUGAACAAGGUAUUGGGAUACCGACGAUCGAAUCUCGGGCAAGUAACGUACCGAUUGACAAAGGGAAUUGUAUACGGGAUUGAUUGAAUCCUCGACAUCGUGAUUCAUCCGAUGAGAUCAUCGUGCAACAUGUGGGAGCCAACAUGGGUAUCCAGAUCCCGCUGUUGGUUAUUGACCGAAGAGUCGUCUCGGUCAUGUCUGCAUGUCUCCCGAACCCGUAGGGUCUACACACUUAAGGUUCGGUGACGCUAGAGUUGUAGAGAUAUUAGUAUGCGGUUAACUGAAAGUUGUUCGGAGUCCCGGAUGAGAUCCCGGACGUCACGAGGAGUUACGGAAUGGUCCGGAGGUAAAGAUUUAUAUAUGGUAAGUCCUAUUUUGGCCACCGGAAAAUGUUCGGGAUUUUUCGGUAUUGUACCGGGAAGGUUCUAGAAGGUUCUGAAGUGGGGCCCACCUGCAUGGGGGGACCCACAUGAACGUGGGUAGUGGGGGCAAGGCCCCACACCCCUGGUCAAGGCGCACCAAGAUCCCACCUUAGAAGGAAUAAGAUCAUAUCCCGAAGGGAUAAGAUCAAGAUCCCUAAAAAAGGGGGAUAACAAUCGGUGGGGAAGGGAAAUGAUGGGAUUUCUUUCCCCCACCUUUGCCAACGCCCCAAUGGACUUGGAGGGCAAGAAACCAGCCCCCUCCACCCCUAUAUAUAGUGGGGAGGCGAAUGGGAGCAGUACCCCAAGCCCUGGCGCCUCCCUCCCUCCCGUGACACCUCUUCCUCCCCGCUUGCGCUUGGCGAAGCCCUGCCGGGAUCCCAUUACUUCCACCACCACGCCGUCGUGCUGCUGGAUCUCCAUCAACUUCUCCUCCCCCCUUGCUGGAUCAAUAAGGAGGAGACGUCCCGCUCCGUACGUGUGUUGAACGCGGAGGUGCCGUCCGUUCGGCGCUAGGAUCAUCGGUGAUUUGGAUCACGACGAGUACGACUCCAUCAACCCUGUUCUCUUGAACGCUUCCGCGCGCGAUCUACAAGGGUAUGUAGAUGCACUCCCCUCUCUCUCGUUGCUAGAUGACUCCAUAGAUUGAUCUUGGUGAUACGUAGAAAAUUUUAAAUUUCUGCUACGUUCCCCAACAGUGGCAUCAUGAGCCAGGUUUAUGCGUAGAUUCUAUGCUCGAGUAGAACGCAAAGUAGUUGUGGGCGACGAUUUGUUCAAUUUGCUUACUGUUACUAGUCUUAUCUUGAUUCGGCGACAUUGUGGGAUGAAGCGGCCCGGACCGACCUUACACGUACUCUUACGUGAGACAGGUUCCACCGACUGACAUGCACUUGAUGCAUAAGGUGGCUAGCGGGUGUCUGUCUCUCCCACUUUAGUCGGAUCGGAUUCGAUGAAAAGGGUCCUUAUGAAGGGUAAAUAGCAAUUGGCAUAUCACCGUUGUGGCUUUUGCGUAGGUAAGAAACGUUCUUGCUAGAAACCCAUAACAGCCAUGUAAAACAUGCAACAACAAUUAGAGGACGUCUAACUUGUUUUUGCAGGUUAUGCUAUGUGAUGUGAUAUGGCCAAAAGGAUGUGAUGAAUGAUAUAUGUGAUGUAUGAGAUUGAUCAUGUUCUUGUAAUAGGAAUCACGACUUGCAUGUCGAUGAAUAUGACAACCGGCAGGAGCCAUAGGAGUUGUCUUAAUUUAUUGUAUGACCUGCGUGUCAAUGAAAAACGCCAUGUAAUUACUUUACUUUAUUGCUAACCGUUAGCCAUAGUAGUAGAAGUAAUAGUUGGCGAGACAACUUCAUGAAGACACGAUGAUGGAGAUCAUGAUGAUGGAGAUCAUGGUCUCAUGCCGGUGACGAAGGUGAUCAUGCCGCGCCUCGAAGAUGGAGAUCAAAAGGCGCAAGAUGAUAUUGGCCAUAUCAUGUCACUUUAUGAUUUGCAUGUGAUGUUUGUCAUGUUUACAUCUUAUUUGCUUAGAACGACGGUAGCAUAAAUAAGAUGAUCCCUCACUAAAAUUUCAAGAGAUGUGUUCCCCCUAACUAUGCACCGUUGCGAAGGUUCGUUGUUUCGAAGCACCACGUGAUGAUCGGGUGUGAUAGAUUCUAACGUUCGCAUACAACGGGUGUUGACGAGCCUAGCAUGUACAGACAUGGCCUCGGAACACAAGCAAAACACUUAGGUUGACUUGACGAGCCUAGCAUGUACAGACAUGCCCUCGGAACACAAGAGACCGAAAGGUCGAACAUGAGUCAUAUAGUAGAUACGAUCAACAUGGAGAUGUUCACCGAUGAUGACUAGUCCGUCUCACGUGAUGAUCGGACACGGCCUAGUCGAUUCGGAUCAUGUAUCACUUAGAUGACUAGAGGGAUGUCUAUCUAAGUGGGAGUUCAUUAAAUAAUCAGAUGAACUUAAUUAUCAUGAACAUAGUCAAAAGGUCUUUGCAAAUAAUGUCGUAGCUUACGCUUUAGUUCUACUAAGAUAUGUUCCUAGAGAAAAUUUAGUUGAAAGUUGAUAGUAGCAAUUAUGUGGACUGGGUCCGUAAACUGAGGAUUGUCCUCAUUGCUGCACAGAAGGCUUAUGUCCUUAAUGCACCGCUCGGUGUGCUGAACCUCGAGCGUCAUCUAUAGAUGUUACGAAACAUCUGACAUACACGUUUUGAUGACUACGUGAUAGUUCAGUGUGUGAUGCUAACGGUUUAAAAUUGUGGCACCAAAGACGGUUUUGAAACGUCGCAGAACAUAUGAGAUGUUCCAAAGACUGAAAUUGGGAUUUCAUACUAAUGCCCACGUCAAGAGGUAUGAGACCUCUGACAAGUUUCUUAAGCCUGCAAACUAAGGGAGAAAAGCUCAAUCGUUGAGCAUAUGCUCAGAUUGUCUGAGUACUACAAUCACUUGAAUCGAGUGGGAGUUAAUCUUCCAGAUGAGAUAGUGAUGGUUCUCCAUAGUCACUACCACCAAGCUAUUAGAGCUUCGUGAUGAACUAUAACAUAUCAGGGAUAGACCUAAUGAUCCUUGAGCAACUCGCGAUGUUUGACACCGCGAAAGUAGAAAUCAAGAAGGAGCAUCAAUUGUUGAUGGUUAGUAAAACCACUAGUUUCUAGAAGGGCAAGGGCAAGAAGGGAUACUUCAUGAAACGGCAAAUUAGUUACUGCUCUAGUGAAGAAACCCAAGGUUGAACCCAAACCCGAGACUAAGUGCUUCUGAAAUGAGGGGAACAGUCACUGAAGCAGAACUACCCUAGAUACUUCGUAGAUGAGAAGGCUGGCAAGGUCGACAGAAGUAUAUUGGAUAUACAUGUGUACUUUACUAGUACUCCUAGUAGCACCAGGGUAUUAGAUACCGGUUCGGUUGCUAAGUGUUAGUAACUCGAAAUAAAAGCUGCGGAAUAAACGGAGACUAGCUAAAGGUGAGAUGACGAUAUGUGUUGGAAGUGUUUCCAAGGUUGAUGUGAUCAAGCAUCGCAUGCUCCCUCUACCAUCGAGAUUGGGGUUAAACCUGAAUAAUAAUUAUUUGGUGUUUGCGUUGAGCAUAGACAUGAUUGGAUUAUGUUUAUCGCAAUACGGUUAUUCAUUAAAGGAGAAUAAUGGUUGCUCUGUCUAUUUGAAUAAUACCUUCAAUGGUCUUGCACCUAAAAUGAAUGGUUUAUUGAAUCUCGAUCGUAGUGAUACACAUGUUCAUGCCAAAAGAUAUAAGAUAGUAAUGAUAGUACCACAUACUUGUGGCACUUCCACUUGAGUCAUAUUGGUAUAAAACGCAUGAAGAAGCUCCAUGUUGAUGGAUCUUUGGACUCACUCGUUUUUGAAAAGAUUGAGACAUGCGAACCAUGUCUAUUAGUAUAUAUGCAUGAAGAAAGUCCAUACAGAUGGAUCAUUUGGACUCACUUGAUUUUGAAUCACUUGAGACAUGCAAAUCAUACCACAUGGGCAAGAUGACUGAAAGGCCUCGUUUUCAGAGAGCAACUUGUUGGAAGUAAUACAUUUGAUGUGUGCAGUCCAAUGAGUGCUGAGGCACGCAGUGGAUAUCGUAAUGUUCUUACUUCACAGAUGAUUUGAGUAGAUGCUGAGAAUAUUUACUUGAUGAAACACAAAUCUGAAUUAUUGAAAGGUUCAAGUAAUUUCAGAGUGAAGUUGAAGAUCGUCGUGACAAGAGGAUAAAAUGUCUGUGAUAUGAUCAUAGAGAUGAAUAUCUGAGUUACGAAUUUGGCACACAAUUAAGAAAUUGUGGAAAUUGUUUCACGACUAAUACCGCCUGGAACACCAUAUUGUGAUGGUGUGUCCGAACAUCAUAACUGCACUCUAUUGGAUAUGGUGCAUACCAUGAUGUCUCUUAUCGAAUUACAACUAUCAUUUAUGGGUUAGGCAUUAGAGACAACCGCAUUCACUUUAAAUAGGGCACCACGCAAUUCCGUUGAGACGACACCGUAUGAACUAUGGUUUAGAGAAACCUAAGCUGUCGUUUCUUAAAAGUUUGGGGCUGCGACGCUUAUGUGAAAAAGUUUCAGGCUGAUAAGCUCGAACCCAAAGCGAAUAAAUGCAUCUUCAUAGAAUACCCAAAACAGUUGGGUAUACCUCCUAUUUCAGAUCUGGAAGCAAAAGUGAUUGCUUCUAGAAACGGGUGCUUUCUCGAGGAAAAGUUUCUCUCGAAAGAAUUGAGUGGGAGGUGUAGGGGAACGUAGAAGAAAUUCAAAAUUUUCUACGCAUCACCAAGAUCAAUCUAUGGAGUUUACUAGCAACGAGAGGGAAGGAGUGCAUCUACAUACCCUUGUAGAUCGCGAGCGGAAGCGUUCAAGAGAACGGGGUUGAUGGAGUCGUACUCGUCGUGAUCCAAAUCACCGAUGAUCCUAGCGCCGAACGGACGGCACCUCCGCGUUCAACACACGUACGGAGCAGCGACGUCUCCUCCUUCUUGAUCCAGCAAGGGGGGAGGAGAGGUUGAUGGAGAUCCAACAGCAUGACGGCGUGGUGGUGGAAGUAGCGGGAUUCCAACAGGGCUUCGCCAAGCGCUGCGGGAGGAGGGAGAUGUGUCACGGGAGGGAGAGGGAGGCGCCAGGGCUUAGGUAUUGCUGCCCUCCCUUCCCCCCACUAUAUAUAGGGCCAAGGGAGAGAGGGGGGGCAGCCUUGGCCCUUCCUCCAAGGAAGGGUGCGGCCAGGGAGGAGUCCUUCCCCCCCAAGGCACCUCGGAGGUGCCUUCCCCCUUUAGGACUCUCCCUUUUCCUUAUCUCUUGGCGCAUGGGCCUCUUGGGGCUGGUGCCCUUGGCCCAUAUAGGCCAAGGCGCACCCCUAUAGCCCAUGUGGCCCCCCGGGGCUCGUGGACCCCCUUGGUGGACCCCCGGACCCCUUUCGGCACUCCCGGUACAAUACCGAUAAAGUGCGAAACUUUUCCGGCGACCAAAAUAAGACUUCCCAUAUAAAUCUUUACCUCCGGACCAUUCCGGAACUCCUCGUGACGUCCGGGAUCUCAUCCGGGACUCCGAACAACUUUCGGGUUACCGCAUACUAAUAUCUCUAUAACCCUAGCGUCACCGAACCUUAAGUGUGUAGACCCUACGGGUUCGGGAGACACGCAGACAUGACCGAGACGACUCUCCGGUCAAUAACCAACAGCGGGAUCUGGAUACCCAUGUUGGCUCCCACAUGCUCCUCGAUGAUCUCAUCAGAUGAACCACGAUGUCGAGGAUUCAAUCAAUCCCGUAUACAAUUCCCUUUGUCUACCGGUAUGUUACUUGCCCGAGAUUCGAUCGUUGGUAUCCCGAUACCUUGUUCAAUCUCGUUACCGGCAAGUCUCUUUACUCGUUCCGUAACACAUCAUCCCAUGAUCAACUCCUUGGUCACAUUGUGCACAUUAUGAUGAUGUCCUACCGAGUGGGCCCAGAGAUACCUCUCCGUUUACACGGAGUGACAAAUCCCAGUCUCGAUUCGUGCCAACCCAACAGACACUUUCGGAGAUACCUGUAGUGCACCUUUAUAGCCACCCAGUUACGUUGUGACGUUUGGUACACCCAAAGCAUUCCUACGGUAUCCGGGAGUUGCACAAUCUCAUGGUCUAAGGAAAUGAUACUUGACAUUAGAAAAGCUCUGAGCAAACGAACUACACGAUCUUGUGCUAGGCUUAGGAUUGGGUCUUGUCCAUCACAUCAUUCUCCUAAUGAUGUGAUCCCGUUAUCAACGACAUCCAAUGUCCAUGGUCAGGAAACCGUAACCAUCUAUUGAUCAACGAGCCAGUCAACUAGAGGCUUACUAGGGACAUGGUGUUGUCUAUGUAUCCACACAUGUAUCUGAGUUUCCUAUCAACACAAUUCUAGCAUGGAUAAUAAACGAUUAUCAUGAACAAGGAAAUAUAAUAAUAACCUAUUUAUUAUUGCCUCUAGGGCAUAUUUCCAACAGGAGGAUGGUGGAGACUUGAUGAGGUCAUUGAACCGUCACUUCAACUAAUGUGUAGCAGGGCACAGGAAGUUGUUCCUGUGGCACCUACACCAAUUGAAGUGGAAGCUUAUGAUAGUGAUCAUGAAACUUCAGAUCAAGUCACUACCAAACCUCAUAGGAUGACAAGGAUGCGUACUACUUCAGAGUGGUACGUAAUCAUGUCUUGGAAGUCAUGUUGCUAGACAACAAUGAACCUACGAGCUAUGGAGAAGCGAUGGUGGGCCUGGAUUCCGACGAAUGGCUCGAGGUCAUAAAAUCCGAGAGGAUCCAUGUAUGAAAACAAAGUAUAGACUUUGAAAGAACUACUUGAUGGUCGUAAGGCUGUUGGGUAGAGAUGGAUUUUAAAGGGAAGACAGACAAUGAUGGUAAGUGUCACCAUUUAGAAAGCUCGACUUGUCGUUAAGAUGUUUUCCGGCAAGUUCAAGGAGUUGACUGCGAUGAGACUUUCUCACUCGUAGCGAUGCUAAGAGUCUGUUAGAAUUAUAUUAGUAGUUACUGCAUUAUUUAUGAAAUCUUGCAGAUAGGAUGUCAAAACAUUGUUUCCUCGACGAUUUUCUUGAGGAAAGGUUGUAUGUGAUACAACCAGAAGGUUUUGUCAAUCCUGAAAGAUGCUAACAAGUAUGCAAAGCUCCAGCAAUCCUUCUAAGGAUUGGAGUAAGCAUCUCGGAGUUGGAAUGAACGCUUUGAUGAGAUGAUCAAAGAUUUUGGGUUUAUACAAAGUUCAUGUGAAACUUGUAUUUCCAAAUAAGUGAGUGGGAGCACUAUAGAAUUUUUGAUGAGUAUAUGUUGUUAACAUAUUGUAGAUCAGAAAUGAUGUAGAAUUUCUGGAAAGCAUCCAGGGUUAUUUGAAAAGUGUUUUUAAUGGAAAACCUGGAUUAAGCUACUUGAACAUUGAGCAUCAAGAUCUAUAAGGAUAGAUCAAAAACGCUUAAUAGUACUUUCAAAUGAAUACAUACCGUGACAAGAUUUUGAAGGAGUUCAAAAUAGAUCAGCAAAGAAGGAGUUCUUGGAUGUGUUACAAGGUGUGAGUAUUGAGUAAGACUCAAGACCUGACCACGGCAGAAGAAAGAGAAAGGACGAAGGUCGUCCCCUAUGCUUUAGACGUAGGCUCUAAAUAUGCUAUGAUGUGUACCGCACCUGAAGUGUGCCUUGCCAUGAGUUAGUCAAGGGGUACAAUAGUGAUCCAGGAAGGGAUCACAUGACAGCGGUCGAACUUAUCCUUAGUAUCUAGUGGACUGAGGAAUUUUCUCGAUUAUGGAGGUGGAAAGGGGGUUCGUCGUAAAGGGUUACGUCGAUGCAAACUUUGACACUAAUCCGGAUGACUCUGAGUAGUGAACCGGAUUCGUAUAGUAGAGCAGUUAUUUGGAAUAGCUCCAAGUAGCGCGUGGUAGCUGCAUCUACAAGAUGACAUAGAGAUUUGUAAAGCACACACGGAUCUGAAUGUUGCAGACCCGUUGACUAAAACCUCUCUCGUAAGCAUAACAUGAUCAAAUCCUAGAACUCAUUGAGUGUUAAUCACAUGGUGAUGUGAACUAGAUUAUUGACUCUAGUAAACUCUUGGGUAUUAGUCACAUGGAGAUGUGAACUUUGAGUGUUAAUCACAUGGUGAUGUGAACUAGAUUAUUGACUCUAGUGCAAGUGGGAGACUGUUGGAAAUAUUCCCUAGAGGCAAUAAUAAAAUGGUUAUUAUUGUAUUUCCUUGUUCAUGAUAAUUGUCUGUUGUUCAUGCUAUAAUUGUAUUAACUGGAAACCGUAAUACAUGUGUGAAUACAUAGACCACAACAUGUCCCUAGUAAGCCUCUAGUUGACUAGCUCGUUGAUCAAUAGAUGGUUAUGGUUUCCUGAGCAUGGACAUUGGAUGCCAUUGAUAACGGGAUCACAUCAUUAGGAGAAUGAUGUGAUGGACAAGACCCAAUCCUAAGCAUAGCACAAGAUCGUGUAGUUCGUUUGCUAGAGCUUUUCUAAUGUCAAGUAUCAUUUCCUUAGACCAUGAGAUUGUGCAACUCCCGGAUACCGUAGGAAUGCUUUGGGUGUACCAAACGUCACAACGUAACUGGGUGGCUAUAAAGGUGCACUACAGGUAUCUCCGAAAGUGUCUGUUGGGUUGGCACGAAUCGAGACUGGGAUUUGUCACUCCGUAUGACGGAGAGGUAUCUCUGGGCCCACUCGGUAAUGCAUCAUCAUAAUGAGCUCAAUGUGACUAAGGAGUUAGCCACGGGAUCAUGCGUUACGGUACGAGUAAAGUGACUUGCCGGUAACGAGAUUGAACAAGGUAUUGGGAUACCGACGAUCGAAUCUCGGGCAAGUAACGUACCGAUUGACAAAGGGAAUUGUAUACGGGAUUGAUUGAAUCCUCGACAUCGUGAUUCAUCCUAUGAGAUCAUCGUGGAACAUAUGGGAGCCAACAUGGGUAUCCAGAUCCUGCUGUUGGUUAUUGACCGGAGAGUCGUCUCGGUCAUGUCUGCAUGUCUCCCGAACCCGUAGGGUCUACACACUUAAGGUUCGGUGACGCUAGAGUUGUAGAGAUAUUAGUAUGCGGUUAACCGAAAGUUGUUCGGAGUCCCGGAUGAGAUCCCGGACGUCACGAGGAGUUACGGAAUGGUCCGGAGGUAAAGAUUUAUAUAUGGUAAGUCCUAUUUUGGCCACCGGAAAAUGUUCGGGAUUUUUCGGUAUUGUACCGGGAAGGUUCUAGAAGGUUCUGAAGUGGGGCCCACCUGCAUGGGGGGACCCACAUGAACGUGGGUAGUGGGGGCAAGGCCCCACACCCCUGGUCAAGGCGCACCAAGAUCCCACCUUAGAAGGAAUAAGAUCAUAUCCCGAAGGGAUAAGAUCAAGAUCCCUAAAAAAGGGGGAUAACAAUCGGUGGGGAAGGGAAAUGAUGGGAUUUCUUUCCCCCACCUUUGCCAACGCCCCAAUGGACUUGGAGGGCAAGAAACCAGCCCCCUCCACCCCUAUAUAUAGUGGGGAGGCGCAUGGGAGCAGUACCCCAAGCCCUGGCGCCUCCCUCCCUCCCGUGACACCUCUUCCUCCCCGCUUGCGCUUGGCGAAGCCCUGCCGGGAUCCCGCUACUUCCACCACCACGCCGUCGUGCUGCUGGAUCUCCAUCAACUUCUCCUCCCCCCUUGCUGGAUCAAGAAGGAGGAGACGUCCCGCUCCGUACGUGUGUUGAACGCGGAGGUGCCGUCCGUUCGGCGCUAGGAUCAUCGGUGAUUUGGAUCACGACGAGUACGACUCCAUCAACUCCGUUCUCUUGAACGCUUCCGCGCGCGAUCUACAAGGGUAUGUAGAUGCACUCCCCUCUCUCUCGUUGCUAGAUGACUCCAUAGAUUGAUCUUGGUGAUACGUAGAAAAUUUUAAAUUUCUGCUACGUUCCCCAACAGGGCGCAGCGUAUAGGUACGUCGCAUCUAAGCUAUUUUAACAAAUGCAUGUUUGAACCUGAGACACGGGACGGACGCGUCGGUGGUGCAGCUCCUUUUUCAGUGUCACGCGCGGAUGAACGGGCCUGUUUCCCACGCGGCGUCACCACCGAUGCAAGUCCACGAAACGUUGCAUCUCGCCUGUGCCGCCCGUGCCUCUUUGGAUGCUCUGCCCGCCGUUUUUGAAUUAAUGCCCACAAUUACUUAUGCCAGCACGAACGGAGAAGAGAAAACGAUCGAAGGCAUCGUGUACAUUGACUACGGCUGCAACGCAUCUAUAAAAGGGCACCAUUUCCUCAUCCCUCUCACACUCAUCUCUCAAGCCUCCUCCGCUUCUUCGUUUCGAGCCAAAUCCACCACUCGAGCCGCCAUGCUGUUCUACGGCCCUACCUACCGUCGCCCUCGCACCGUGCCGGAGAGGGAGUACCCGGCCGGAGUCAUCGUCGAGAAUAGCCUGAGGGUGUCGGCCAUCUCAAGGUGGAGGGGCCCUAAAGAGUUGACUCGCUUCUUCCUCCAAGCCGGCUACCGCCACCUCCCUCCGGGCACUCUGCCCAUGUUCCACCUCCACGAGCAGUACGAUGGCGACGCCAGCGGCAUCGUCAUCAGCCUCUACGUCACCUUCACCAACCCCUACGACGCUCACCACCUCCUCGGCCAGGUGUUCUGGUGUGGAUGCGAGUUUAUCGCGUUCACCACCUACAACAUCUUCACCAACUUCCACCACAUCUUCCCCCACCCCAACGGCAUGCACACCCUCCCCUACCAGAUGCCGGAGAACGACGAGUGAGGGGCAUCGGCUAAGGAGGGGCCAAGGAGUUGUUCGAGUGCGAGUCUUUCUAUCUAUCUAGCUUGUGUUGUGUUGUGUUGGUUGGGGCGUGUGUGCCCGUGUCUUCUAGCUAUAUGUCUAGUUUUAAUUAUUUUCCUAUCAUGUUUUAUGCACUAUAUGUUGUAAGGGGAUGCCCCUCUAUAUGUUCUCUAAGGGGAUGCUACUAGGGUACCCGAUGCCCCUCUAUCGUGCUAUCUAUUAAUGUUUUUUCGGGCCUAAAGUUUCUCCAUUGCAUUUUAUUUAUGUGGCCAUGUGAACUAAAAAAUGCACUAAAACAUGAUCCAAUCAUAAAAGUUGUUGUUAGCACGUGUCUAAUUAAUUAUCUUCUUUUUAUGUUUUAUGCACUAUAUGUUGUAAGGGGAUGCCCCUCUAUGUUGUAAGGAGAUGCUACUAGGGGCACACUAGAUGUCUUCUUUUUUUGAGAGGGGCACAACCUUUUUCGGUUGAAACACACGAGUAAAAACUUUGAAAACACCAUAGCACAAAUCAAAAAAAAUUAAAAAUGGUGCUUGGUUGAAAUAAACUAGAACCAAAUAAUUGCAACUUUUUUGGUUCACAAAGACUGCAAGUUAGACUGCUAACUAGAACCAACCUUUUGUUUUAGGCGAAACAACACGGGACCCUACCAUCGGACACGAUAGCUUGUGCAUAAAAAUAGCUCAAAUAAUUAUCAGAUGAGUUAUCUCAAAAAAGGUGACUGCAGGAAACUUAAAAUUUGUGAAAUAACCUAAAGCCGAAAAGAUAUAUCGAUGUCAAUGACCGUGUGCACUUUUUUUUGCACUAGCUACACUUCUUUUAUCAAUGGGCCUGGAUAUGUUCUAUUCGGCCCUGCCUAACUUCUAUAUGGGCCUGGCCUUUUCGGGCAACUGUGGACGAACCUUUUUUUCCUUUUCUCCCUCUACCACUGAAACUGAAACUGAUGACGAACUGAAGAACUGAAAAAACGGGGCCGAAACAGAGUGGAGAAGACAUGCCGAAUUCGUACAACGCAACACUUUUAUUCAAACAUCCAUAUCAUUACGAUUACAAAUGAUGCCCAAUCUAUUCACUUACGACUAAUUAUCAUCACAUAAACAAAUNNNNNNNNNNNNNNNNNNNNNNNNNNNNNNNNNNNNNNNNNNNNNNNNNNNNNNNNNNNNNNNNNNNNNNNNNNNNNNNNNNNNNNNNNNNNNNNNNNNNNNNNNNNNNNNNNNNNNNNNNNNNNNNNNNNNNNNNNNNNNNNNNNNNNNNNNNNNNNNNNNNNNNNNNNNNNNNNNNNNNNNNNNNNNNNNNNNNNNNNNNNNNNNNNNNNNNNNNNNNNNNNNNNNNNNNNNNNNNNNNNNNNNNNNNNNNNNNNNNNNNNNNNNNNNNNNNNNNNNAAUGGAAUGGGCGCCCUCAAUGGAAUUGCCAGAUCCAGGGGCCCCAGAUCCAGACGGGCCUGAUCCAAACUUGCCCAACUUCUCCGCCUCCAACGGUAAAUCGAGCUCCCCUGAUGCACCCUCCAGUUGAAUCCGCUCUAUGUACUCAUCUAGCCACUCAAAAUGGAUGCAUUGCUUCAAUUUCUGAAAUCGGAAAGAUGAACCCUAAAUCCCAAAUCCGAUGAAAAAUGGGCAAAUAUGAAAUUGGGAGACAAAAGCCAAAAUUGGCAUAUUGAGAAGUAAAAUCUCACCUUUCCCUGCUCUGGUUUGCUCUCGCAUUUCACGAAUUCCCGCCCAAGGUUGCCAUUCUUGUCAGUCGUUGUGACUAGCCGCUUCAGGGGUGCGGUACGUGGGCAUGCAGGGCACCUUGUCAUGGGCUCUGCGCCAUAGCGCGGCCAUGAGCGGCGGGAGGCUGAAGCGGAGCUCGACAUUGCUAGGUUGCGGCCCGGAACGGCGUUGCUGCGCGUCGUCGCCGGAGAAGAAGAACAACAACGGUCGGGGAGGGGGGAGGAUGGGCUCGGGUGCUGCACGGCUCGGUGUCCUCUUGUACCAAUGCUGAGCUGGAUAAGUUAGUGGGUCCCAUGCUGUGGGUCCCGCUCACCUGACCAAUGCUGAGCUGGAUAAGUUAGUGGGUCCCAUGUUGUGGGUCCCGCUCACCUGAUUUGAGUUUUAAACAUGUGUCUUUGGAUUAGGCAGCAGUGUCGCACGGCAACUAUUUUUUCCAACGCAGAUGUCGCAUGAGAGCCAUUUGAACCAACGAUGUCGCAUGAGAGACAAUUCAACUCAACGACGUCGCAUGGGAACUAUUUGCCCCGAGGACAACUCGCUCGAGGAGUCGGUAUGACACGGUGGGGCUGCCACCGCAACUCCUUUCUCCGAGCACAGAAGUUUCCAAAAAAGAACUGAGUGUGGGCAUGUCCAGAAUCAGUGAAGUAGUGUUUCUUCUCUUCCACAAGCUGCACAAAAAACCCCAGCCUUGAUAUGCCGCCGCUGGAGCUCAGUUCCAACUGCCAGACCAUUUCUCAUUAACCUCCACAUGUGAAUUUUUGCCUUGUUAGGAGCACUAGUAUCCCACAAAGCUAGCCAUCCCUUGUGUUGGUUCACCGAGGAGGAAGAGCCUGGCCGUCCAGUCUUCACCCCGUUCAACCUCAUCCUUAAGUGAUACGCCGACCUCACUCAGAACUGCCCAUUCUUGGUAAAAUUCCAUGCUAAAUAGUCUUCCGUACUUGGGCCUCCAAUCGCUAUCUGUUUAAUAUCUCUUGCAUCAUCUGGUGAGAACAUUUCAUCAACUAGAUUCAUAUUCCAGACCUUCCCAUUCGGCAUCAUUAAAUCCUGGACUUUUGUCACCCCUGGCACAAAGGUUUGCCCAAGCGGCUUCAUACUUCCUUGCCUUGGAAUCCAACUGUCAUGAUGUAUGUUUAUCCUAGACCCAUCUCCUAUUCGCCAAAUCGUGCCUUCUCUCAACAGAUCCCUCCCAUAGAUUAUACUACGAAAGGUAUAAGAGGCGCCAGAGGGACAUGUUGCAUUCAUAAUCGUCCCAUCCUUGAAAUACCGGGCCUUCAGAACUCUAGCACACAAGGAUUGUGGGUACUGUAGCACUCUCCAAGCUUGCUUUGCUAACAAGGCCUGGUUGAAAGCCACUGGGUCUCUAAACCCAAGUCCACCGUCCCGCUUGGCAGUACACAUUUUCUCCCAUGCUAGCCAAUGCACUUUCCUCUCACCGUUUGCUGCACCCCACCAGAAAAUUGACGAAAUUGAUGUCAGGUUCCCGCACAUCUUCUUUGUGAGUUGAAAACAACUCAUGGUAAAAGUUGGUGUAGAUUAUAGCACAGAUUUGACAAGCACUUCUCGUGCCGCCUUUGAUAAACCCUGUCCUUUCCAUCCCGAUACCUUCCCUUUAGAGCACUCGGUAACAUAUUUGAAUGUUCCAUCCUUGGAUUUUCCAACCACUGUUGGUAGUCCAAGAUAUCUCUCCCUCAGCGCCUCCGUUUCAAUUCCAAUAGCCUGCUUCAAAGGCCCCUUCUCCUCCUGCGCACAGCCCUUUCCAAAAAUUAUAGCAGAUUUUUGAAGGUUAACUUUUUGACCAGAAGCGGCCUCAUACCUCUCUAGAAUCUGCCUUAGUGCUAUCAAAUUAUUUUGGGAUCCUUCCAAGAAAACGAUGCUGUCAUCUGCAAAUAAUAGGUGUGUUACAUGGGGCCGGCGCUCCCAAAUGAAACACCCUUAAUUGUUUUGUUCUGUUGUGCCUUCUUUAACAAAGCUGAGAACCCCUCGACACAAAACAAGAACAAAUAUGGUGAUAGUGGAUCCCCUUGCCGCAGACCUCUUGAAGUUGUGAUGAUUGGGUUGUGCGACAUGCUCUGUUUUUGGGCUAUAUGGCGAACACAAAAGAAAUAUUUUGUUUUCAAUUGUACUACUGAUGUUGUGUUAUUUAUGUCCAAUUUUAUCUGUUACUUGGCGACCCUCCAGCAGAAAGGCAUGCUCUGUACAGACAAACAUAGAUAGUAGUAACAAACUUGAAUUGGUUGCAAAAAUAGCAAAUUAAGUUGGUGGUACACAUGCAUGGAUGAUGAAGCCUUCUUCAAUCUCAACUCGUCGUUGCUGGAGUCGGCAAAUUCGACGCGCAUGAGAUCUGUGGAUAUAGAUCUUACAUGAGAGCUGCUAUACACACGACGAAAUUGCAGCCGACGCAGGCACGAUCCAAUAUGGCAGCCCCGUCGUGUGUGAUGGCAUUUCGAGCUUACAUUAUUGAGAAGUUGGUCCCAAUUCUUUUGACAUGUAAAGUGUCCGCCUCAAUGUCUCAUUAAGCAAUGCAUUUAAGCCUUCUCUCCCACUAAGUCAUGCAAAAUUUGCCACGUAAGCGAGUCAUGCAUUUAACUUAUAAAGUACGGUUGUUUUUGCAUUAGUCUAUGCAUGCAACGCUGCGAACGAAACAAGUCUAGGAGUAGCAGCCCAAGGCAUCGCUUCAUUCCCUGCAAUGUCACUUAGCCUAGGAGUUGCGUUGCGUUGCUGAAUGGUGUCAAGUAGUAGUUCAUUUGUAGAUCCACUCGUCGGAGCGCUUGCCGCCGCCGGCGGAGUCGACGUCGAUGAAGAUGCUGACGGCCUUGCCGAUGCGGGGGCGGUCCUUGGUGGUCUCGAGCGAGUUGCGGACGUGGGCGACGGCGCCCCAGGAGCGGAGCGUGUUGGCCACGUCGUCGAGGCGGAGCAGGUACUCCUCCUCCGUCAGCGGGAAGGACCGCUGCUCCCGGUACUUCCACAUCACGUUCAUCGCCAGCAGGCUCCGCCCCAUGAACUGCUUCCGGAUGAGCGUCACGUCGUAGCUCCGGCCGUAGCGCUUCCGGAUGAGCGUGGCCAGGUCGAGCCCGCUGAAGCCGUCGUCGUCCGGCGCCCCCACCAGCCGCUCCAGCUCCUCCCGGUUCCGCCUCGACGCCGACGCCGACGACGUGCCCUGCAAUCGACCACGAUCAGUCGGCUCCCCUGUUCGUCAGCACUCGACGUGCACGCACGCACGCAACAAGAUUAGGGCGUGUACCUCGUCGUCGUCUUUUCUUGGCUUCUCUUCUUUGUCUUCGUCGUCGUCGUCUUUGCCGCUGCUGGAUUCGCCGCCGUCGUCGGCGACGGCCCUGACCGGGACGACGGCGCCGCGGCGGAAGGAGCCUGAAGAUGGCCUCCUCGUGCGGCUAGGAGGAUGUGCGUUGAUGGUGCUCCGCCGUGGACAUAAUAAUAAAAUGUCGUGUUGAUGGUGGUGAUGGAUCAUGCGCAGGUUCUGGGGGUGGCCGCUGGAGAGCACAUUCAUCAUGGAGCUCGAUCGAUCACGGCGACUGGACCGGACAACCCCAAGAUGGAUGGAUGGAUGGAUCGACUUGUCUGGUCUGCCUGGAGGGACAAAGAAUCGUUUACUUGCCAGGAGGAAGCACAACCACAAUAUAGAGUAUGAACAAAUUGUUUGUAAAAAGUAACUUUAUGUGUGUGGUGUACAAAGAACAGAGGAGUCUAUAAACGAUAAAACUGAUUAUUCUAUCUUGGCGAACUGUACUGAUAAUGAAGAUGUAAAGAAGUGUGUAAGAGAAGACGCACAACAAAGGGCAUUUGGUCUAGUGGUAUGAUUCUCGCUUAGGGUGCGAGAGGUCCCGAGUUCAAUUCUCGGAAUGCCCCUAAUCUUUCUUUUUUCAUCUUUUUUAAUUAUAAAAAAAUGUCUUCCUCCCCGCACCACACACACCUGAAUAUUUCCAUCAGUACCCGAAGGAAGGAUAUUUUGGUUUGUUCCCUGAACAAGCCCUCUGGUAUGCAUGCAGAUGGUCAAUCUAAUCUAAAGAAAGAAAAGCAACAAAAAGGAAACCAUGUUUACCCAGGAGCGGAGGUAAUUAAUUAAGCAACCAGCUAGUUACUUACUACUAACCUCUGAAGCUUCUUCAGAUCCUAUCCCCUGCCCGGUCCGUCCGUCCGGCCGGCAGAGUUGGUGCGAGCUCGAUUGCUUGCUCCGGCCUGCUCGUGAACAAGAAGAAGAAGAAGAAGAAGAAGAAGAAGAAGAAGAAGAAGAAGAAGAAGAUGAAGAGUCGAUUACUUCUGGGAGAGCUCGCUGAGAGGAGGAAGAGGGCGAGAAGGAAGGAAGGUUCAGAAGCGGAGAAAAGCAAGAGGAAGAGAAGAAACAGAGGUGGAAGAAAUCCCCAAGCUUUGCUUUUUGGUAGGCUUGCGUGACGCCACAGCCACAGCCACACCAGUGACCAGACCAGGCUCAAGGAUGGAUGGAUGCGUGGUGGCAGACGCAGCGGGGACGCUCACCACCCACAUUCCCUUCCUUCCUUUCUUUCUUUCUUUCUUUCUUUUCCUCCCUCUUUCUCUCAGAAAAAAAAAA